AGAUAGCCGAGGAAACUGCAAGGAGUCUUUCAUGGUAUCGAUCGCACUCCGCAAGGUACCACAUCCACCGACGAAGAAGAGCUCAUGGACGGCACAUCAGAGAGAAAAGCCUCUCCCAGAAUAUAGCCGAGAAAAUCGCCAGGAGUCUUGCAUGGUAUCGAUCCCACUGCGCAAGAUACCAUUUCCACCGACGAGAAAGAGCUCAUGGACGGCAACUAAGAGAAAACAGUCUCUACCAGAAUUUGGUGAAGCCUGUGCACCUUCGUCGAAAAGGAGGAUUGCUCAUGGUUUCCUGCAGCCUGAAAUCGACCGAAGCAUGCCGUCUACUAGCCGCGAGGGCUUCCCGCAAAGAAAGCGUCGAAAGAUUGGUGGCCGACCACCCCAUGAAUUUUCUGCGCCAUUGGCCCAUGGUGGGGAAGAGGAGGUUGCCCACGAUCUCGGUGUAACCCCGGAGGAGUACCCCCUGUCAUCCAUGUCGGGUUUAACCGCCGAUCCUCCAAAACUUUUUACGUUCGGCCUAUUCACCUACGACACGCUGCUUAAGUGACAGUUCGACUGGCCCGCACGGAGCACGACCUGAGUUAUCGAGGACAGAGAAGUGCUUGUGCGCAGGGCCUGCCUUUGGCGUUGUCAUUACGCUUACGGUUCCCAGUGGAUCCCUUGUCAGUUUGUUACAACCGGACUUAUA
Molecule: non-coding RNA, 688 nt
Organism: Dermacentor albipictus
Lineage: Eukaryota; Metazoa; Arthropoda; Arachnida; Ixodida; Ixodidae
Source: RefSeq, a predicted model, not a curated record